Molecule: long non-coding RNA, 664 nt
Organism: Brachypodium distachyon (stiff brome)
Lineage: Eukaryota; Viridiplantae; Streptophyta; Magnoliopsida; Poales; Poaceae
Exons: 2
Source: RefSeq, a predicted model, not a curated record
AGGACGGCUCGGUUCCGCCUCGUCGCUGAGGCUGAGGCGGCGGAGAUGGCCAGCCGGCGAAGCAAUGGUCUCCACGGUGCGGUCGCUGAUGACGCCGAGGGCCAUGCCUCCUUGGACGCCUCCUACCUCUCCCUCCGCGGACGAUUUCCCCUCGGCCGCCCCCGCUUCCGCAUGCUCUUCAUCCGCAUUUUGAUUUGAAUUUCAAAUUUGAGUGAUGGAGCAUCACAUAUGGCGGCAGAUGACAGGUCACAGAUCAGGAAGAAUACGAUCAAAAGAAAUCGGCAAAGACAUCACAAAAUGGCACAGCAAAAGAGCGGUCCUCUGGGCCCACAUAACAUAGGGGAAGAAGCUAACUUGCUCAGCAUGUACUUGCUCCAUUACAACACACACCUUCGCUGGAGUAGGAAAUCGAAGAAGAAACCUGUGGUGGAUGCAUCUAUGGACAAGAACAACUUUUCGUAUCCGGCUAAGGUCUAACAGGUUAGUGCCUUUCAGCCAAAAUGACUAACUGUUAAACAAAAUUGAACUGAUUGACACAUGUUAUCACAUACAAACGACACUUGGGUCUAUGAAUAUUUAUUUAUUCAUAUAUUAUAGAUGCAUACAGAGAGAUCAUAUUCUUGCAUGUGCUCGCUCAUAUAAAUUAUAAUGUGUGGCAGUGUGA